Molecule: transfer RNA, 67 nt
Filed under: Daphnia pulex (common water flea)
Lineage: Eukaryota; Metazoa; Arthropoda; Branchiopoda; Diplostraca; Daphniidae
Rfam family: tRNA
About the family: Transfer RNA (tRNA) molecules are approximately 80 nucleotides in length.
Source: Rfam by way of RNAcentral
CCAUAUUGUCUAGUGGUUAGGAUACCUGGCUCUCACCCAGGAGGCCCGGGUUCAAUUCCCAGUAUGG